Molecule: long non-coding RNA, 202 nt
Organism: Hydra vulgaris (swiftwater hydra)
Lineage: Eukaryota; Metazoa; Cnidaria; Hydrozoa; Anthoathecata; Hydridae
Source: RefSeq, a predicted model, not a curated record
UUAGAGCGAUGGAAAAAGAUAAUGAAAAGCUUUUCACCAUUCUAAAAUUAUGUUACAGUUAUGGUCGGAUAAAAAGUGGAGACAAAUAGAAUAAUAUGGAUGGAAUUUUUCCAUUGGCACCUUCAAAAUUACUAAAUACCUGACCGUCAUUAUUCAUUGUAUUUUUUGAAAUGUUUUAGUAAUACAAGCUAACACUUCUUUA